Molecule: ribosomal RNA, 252 nt
Filed under: uncultured bacterium
Lineage: Bacteria
Description: partial 16S ribosomal RNA
Rfam family: Bacterial small subunit ribosomal RNA
Source: RNAcentral
AACGUAGGAGACAAACGUUAUCCGGAGUUACUGGGCGUAAAGGGCGUGUAGGCGGUUUGUUAAGUCUGGCGUGAAAGCUCUCGGCUAAACGGGAGAGGUCGUUGGAUACUGGCAAACUAGAGGAUGGUAGAGGCGUGUGGAAUUCCGGGUGUAGUGGGGAAAUGCGUAGAGAUCCGGAGGAACACCAGUGGCGAAGGCGACACGCUGGGCCAUACCUGACGCUAAAGCGCGACAGCAUGGGGAGCAAACGGG